CUUAGCCCCUUCUCCCACUAUACGACUCUCUGGCGAUGCCACAGCGACUACGACUGGCUUCGCCAGAGAGUCGCAUAGUGGGAGAUGGGGUUUAA
RNAcentral lists this microRNA precursor (95 nucleotides) under Plutella xylostella (diamondback moth). Its description in RNAcentral is "microRNA pxy-mir-8520 precursor". The record is from miRBase by way of RNAcentral. Lineage: Eukaryota; Metazoa; Arthropoda; Insecta; Lepidoptera; Plutellidae.